UCCCUUGCUCCUUCCCGCCUAUAUACCGCCGUCGUCAGUUUGCCCUUUGAAGGUCCCGUAGCAAGCACAAUUGGUACCGCCCAGAACGUCAGGUCGAGGUGUAGCUUAUGAGAGGGGAUGAGAUGGGCUACAUUUCCUGAAACAGGAUAUACGGAUAGUGAUUCUGAAAUGAACACUAGAAGGAGGAUUUAGUAGUAAGUAGAAAACAGAGAGUUCUGCUGAACCUGGCUCUUAAGCGUGCACACACCGCCCGUCACUCUCCCCGAGCAUAAUUAUGAACCCAUAAUUAAUACCCUAUUGAUUGCGUCAGGGGAGGCAAGUCGUAACAUGGUAAGUGUACCGGAAGGUGCACUUGGAUAAA
Molecule: ribosomal RNA, 361 nt
Filed under: Chromis retrofasciata (black-bar chromis)
Lineage: Eukaryota; Metazoa; Chordata; Actinopteri; Pomacentridae
Description: partial 12S ribosomal RNA
Rfam family: Bacterial small subunit ribosomal RNA
Source: RNAcentral